Spinacia oleracea (spinach) is the source of this 976-nucleotide long non-coding RNA. RefSeq lists it as uncharacterized. The record is from RefSeq and is a predicted model, not a curated record. The transcript is spliced from 4 exons. Lineage: Eukaryota; Viridiplantae; Streptophyta; Magnoliopsida; Caryophyllales; Amaranthaceae.
CGAGCAAGCCUCGGAUUAUGGAUAAACAAAUUAUACAAGUGAGACGAUCUCCUCGAGUUGCAAACAAUCCUGCUCCUGUUUAUGCUGAAAUUUCAUUGCCUCGGUUUUCUUUACCCAGAAAGUGAGUAACCUAAUUUUUCAAUUAAAUUUGAUGAAAAAAUUAAAUUUGGGGGGUUUUUUUUGUUGAAUUUUAAUGGGGUUACAAAAUUAAUGUUGGGUAUGUUAGGAAUUAUGGAGUAGUAAAAGCAAGAGAUUUCUCAAAUCGAGUAAUAGCAAGCGAUGAUGUGAGAGAAUACACAAUUGAAGAAGCAGAGAAGCUGAAUGCUAAGCUUGAAGAAGAGGGUUUUCCUACUCUUGUUAGACCCAUGCUUCCUUCACAUGUUACUGGUGGUUUGAUUUGGCAUCCCUAAUUUUGACGUCUGCGGAUUUGGUUUUCUCUAAGGUUGUUGAGAAAGACGCAUGAAACACAUGGUGCAGCCCUCCCCUUCAGCUCCAGUAGUAACGGGCAACGAUUCCCAUUCUAGUCCUUCAGCUUCAGGUAUGGUGUUAUAGCUGCUCCUGAGAUUACAGGUUGGCAACUCCUGAAUGACAAUGAUAGGCUGAUAGCUACCUCAUAGCUGCGUCUGAUGGUGUUUUUUAGGGGCAGGACACGCAGGAUGUCUGUGAUCUGCUGUGGGAAGUCCAGAAUGAUGACCUCUCAGGAUCACAUGUCUCUCCACCCUGCUCAGAUUCUUUAGCUGAUUGCAUAAUAAGCGUUGCCUUUGAGAGAGGGAGUGUAGAUAAUAUGGCCGCUGCUGUGAUUCCAUUAAGAUUAGAGUUUGUCGAAUACCUCUUUGAAUGGUUGGAAGGAUGAAUGGUGUUUUAUUUGUGAAUUUAAAAAUCUUAUGCUGAAGGGAAGGGAAGGGAAGGUUACACUCCGUUAUCCCCUAUCCGAAUCCCCUCUAACAUUAGCCAUCUUGGUCACGGAAAAGAAGAA